RNAcentral lists this ribosomal RNA (565 nucleotides) under uncultured archaeon. RNAcentral's name for it is "bacterial SSU rRNA". It matches the Rfam family "Archaeal small subunit ribosomal RNA", at positions 312 to 879 of the family's 1478-position model. The record is from RNAcentral.
CGCGAUUCGCCCUUCGGGGUGCCCAGGCGCGAAAACUCCACAAUGUACGACAGUACGAUGGGGUUAUCUCGAGUGCAGUCCGAUAAGGGCUGCUUUUCCAUAGAGUAAUAUCCUGUGGGAAUAAGAGGGGGGCAAGACUGGUGUCAGCCGCCGCGGUAACACCAGCCCCUCGAGUGGUGGGGACUAUUAUUUGGUCUAAAGCGUCCGUAGCUGGCUGUAUCCGUCCCCCGUUAAAUCCAGCGUCCUAAGCGUUGGACUGCGGGUGAUACCAUACAGCUAGAGGGUGGGAUAGGUGAGCGGUAUUUCUGGGGUAGGGGCGAAAUCCUUUGAUCCCAGGAGGACCACCAGUGGCGAAGGCUGCUCACUAGAACACGCCUGACGGUCAGGGACGAAAGCUGGGGCAGCGAACCGGAUUAGAUACCCGGGUAGUCCCAGCUGUAAACGAUGCCAGUCUAGGUGUUGGGUCGGCCACGCGCCGCCCCAGUGCCGCAGGGAAGCCGUUAAGCUGGCCACCUGGGGAGUACGGCCGCAAGGCUGAAACUUAAAGGAAUUGGCGGGGGAGCAC